RNAcentral lists this ribosomal RNA (111 nucleotides) under Citrobacter freundii. The record is from RNAcentral. RNAcentral also lists the same sequence under 8 other names. Lineage: Bacteria; Pseudomonadati; Pseudomonadota; Gammaproteobacteria; Enterobacterales; Enterobacteriaceae.
CGGCUGUAGCGCGGUGGUCCCACCUGACCCCAUGCCGAACUCAGAAGUGAAACGCCGUAGCGCCGAUGGUAGUGUGGGGUCUCCCCAUGCGAGAGUAGGGAACUGCCAGGC